RNAcentral lists this ribosomal RNA (253 nucleotides) under uncultured bacterium. Its description in RNAcentral is "partial 16S ribosomal RNA". It matches the Rfam family "Bacterial small subunit ribosomal RNA", at positions 524 to 776 of the family's 1533-position model. The record is from RNAcentral.
UACAGAGGUCUCGAGCGUUAGGCGGAAUCACUGGGCUUAAAGCGUGUGUAGGCGGGUCGUUAAGGGCCUUGUGAAAUCCCAUGGCUCAACCAUGGAACUGCUGGGCAUACUGGCGAUCUUGUGCAACCUAGGGGCGAGCGGAACAGAUGGUGGAGCGGUGAAAUGCGUAGAUAUCAUCUGGAACGCCAAUGGUGAAAACAGCUCGCUGGGGGUUUGCAGACGCUGAGACACGAAAGCCAGGGGAGCGAACGGG